AAAUAUAUAUAUAUAUGUUUUAUGACUUACUAUCUAUCUCUGUACUUAUCUGUCUGCCUACCUACAUUUAUUGGUAUAUGAUAAUCACGGGAGAGCAAGCGCUGAGAUGGUGC
Molecule: non-coding RNA, 113 nt
Filed under: Geminigera cryophila
Lineage: Eukaryota; Cryptophyceae; Pyrenomonadales; Geminigeraceae
Source: RNAcentral